AGGAGGCAGUGGGGGCGGGGAAAGAGCGGAGGAGAAGGAAGUGGGGAGCGGCGGAAGCCGAUUGGACGCUAGCACCGGAAGUCGUGUGGCGCCUGGCACCCUCCCGCUGGGCGGGGUUGGGGCGGGGCUACAGGCGUGGUAGGCGGGGCUACGGGUGUGGUGGGCGGGGCCAGGCGAGGCGAUAGGCGGUGUUAGACCCGCUUUACUCGCAGGGUCUCGGCGGAGCCCAGCGCGGUGUGGGGGCCCCGGGCGGGCCCUCGCGGAGGAUCCACGCUGUCCCAGUGGCAAAGGCGCCGCCCGCCUUCCACGCCCCCCGGCCUCUGUGGGACCCCAAAGGCUCUCUGGGAAACUAGGUGCUGCUGAGGAACGUUAGAGCUGAGUCACUGACACAUGGGGAAACAUGGACUGAUGGUGUAACAGCAAACUGUAGAAAGGGCAUUCAACACUUUCCCUCGCAUCCCAUUGGCUCCAGUGAGCCUAUUGGCCACACCUAUCUCCAAAGGAGACCGGAAGACGUGGGUUCCGAGGGGCUCAUGAAGAGGAGGAAAACGAAUAUGGGAUAACAGCCCAGGGUCCCCAGCACACUGUAUUAGGAGGGAGGUACCCUGCGGAAGGUAUCUGCGUGGGGCCAAAGAUACCACACUGCUCUCGUGUCUCUGACUCCUCCAGACACUGGCUCUUUUUGCAUCCAUGUCCUCUGGACCAUUCUCUGUGUCCAGGACAAACUUGGUGCUAUGACUGGCCAGGCCUUGGCAACGUGCACACCCUCAAGGCCGAGAGGACAGCUUCUAUGACUAAAAGAAAGGAAGCUUGCUGGACUAAAUAAGACAAGAAAUUAAGGAUCUGUCUUCCAAGUACUGAAGGUGAGGCUCAGCUUUCUUCUUCACCAAAAUCAAAGAAUCCUAUAGAAUGUCAAUGGGCUUACAUGCUGUGUUAGCAAAUGUUCAUGAUUUGUUUUAUUUGGUACAUAUAAUAAGACUGUUGGCUGGUGUGGUCAGUUUUAAACAGCACAGACAUUAAAACCAGAAGCAUCUGGAUUUAAAAGCAGUUCUACCACUUGUGAAUAAAAAUAAUGUCAUCAUUACCGAUAAACAGGUAUCAAGCAUGGUACAUUAUAUACAUUGUCUCCUACUUCUGUUUCUCACACAAACCCUCAAAAGGAUGUGCCACCAGCUUUCAGAUGUAGAAACGGAAGCACAAAGCCGUUGAUUAACUUGCUGAGAGAUAGUCAGCACGGGAGCCAUAAACAGCCAGCUUGGUUUUUAACCCUGGAGACUUGAUCAGUAUGAUAAAUUGCUUUUCCAUGUUUCCUUGCUUUGAAAGCACCUAGAGCAGCGGUUCUCAACCUGCGGAUCGCGACCCCUUUGGCGGUCGAAUGACCCUUUCACAGGGGACGCCUAAGACCAUCCUGCAUAUCAGAUAUUUACAUUACGAUUCAUAACAGUAGCAACAUGACAGUUAUGAAGUAGCAACGAAAAUAAUUUUAUGGCUGGGUUACAACAUGAGGAACUGUAUUUAAAGGGCCAGAUGGUUGAGAACCACUGACCUAGAGAAAUUUUAGUUUGCAAUAGUAUUAUAUGUGACUUUUGACAACUUACUUAUCUUUUCUGAGCCUCGCUUUCUUUAUCGGUAAGCUUAGAAAUUUGGGGUUUGAAUAUUUCUUGUGUCUGUUUCAACGUGAAGGUCUGAGAAUAUAACAUUCUUUCCACUGUUAUUAAGUUUCACUGUGUUAACAGUA
Molecule: long non-coding RNA, 1738 nt
Organism: Myotis myotis
Lineage: Eukaryota; Metazoa; Chordata; Mammalia; Chiroptera; Vespertilionidae
Exons: 2
Source: RefSeq, a predicted model, not a curated record